UACGUAGGUGGCGAGCGUUGUCCGGAUUUACUGGGCGUAAAGAGCGCGCAGGCGGCUGGUCAAGUCCGAUGUGAAAGCUCCCGGCUUAACUGGGAAAUUGCAUCGGAAACUGAUCGGCUGGAAGGUGGGAGAGGGUAGCGGAAUUCCCGGUGUAGUGGUGAAAUGCGUAGAUAUCGGGAGGAACACCAGUGGCGAAGGCGGCUACCUGGCCCAUUCUUGACGCUGAGGCGCGAAAGCUAGGGGAGCAAACGGG
RNAcentral lists this ribosomal RNA (253 nucleotides) under uncultured bacterium. RNAcentral describes it as "partial 16S ribosomal RNA". It matches the Rfam family "Bacterial small subunit ribosomal RNA", at positions 524 to 776 of the family's 1533-position model. The record is from RNAcentral.